Molecule: ribosomal RNA, 424 nt
Filed under: Verrucomicrobiota bacterium
Lineage: Bacteria; Pseudomonadati; Verrucomicrobiota
Description: Verrucomicrobia bacterium partial 16S ribosomal RNA
Rfam family: Bacterial small subunit ribosomal RNA
Source: RNAcentral
UGAGGAAUAUUGGUCAAUGGGCGAGAGCCUGAACCAGCCAAGUAGCGUGCAGGAUGACGGCCCUAUGGGUUGUAAACUGCUUUUAUGUGGGGAUAAAGUUAGGGACGUGUCCCUAUUUGCAGGUACCAUACGAAUAAGGACCGGCUAAUUCCGUGCCAGCAGCCGCGGUAAUACGGAAGGUCCAGGCGUUAUCCGGAUUUAUUGGGUUUAAAGGGAGCGUAGGCUGGAGAUUAAGUGUGUUGUGAAAUGUAGACGCUCAACGUCUGAAUUGCAGCGCAUACUGGUUUCCUUGAGUACGCACAACGUUGGCGGAAUUCGUCGUGUAGCGGUGAAAUGCUUAGAUAUGACGAAGAACUCCGAUUGCGAAGGCAGCUGACGGGAGCGCAACUGACGCUUAAGCUCGAAGGUGCGGGUAUCAAACAGG